GCAGUGAUGGAUCACCGUUUUAGUGGCAUUUAAAUCCCCGGCGCUCCGCCGUCUAGGUGACGCGCAGUCGCCCCCCCAGGCAGCCUAGGCGGCGGCAGCUGCUGCGGCGACUGCAAAGGCCGAUUUGGAGUGCUGGAGCGAAGAAGAGCAAAAGCUGCGUUCUGCGCGCGCCCGACUCCGCUGCCCGCCCCGCCAGGCCUCCGGGAGGUGGGGGCUGGGAGGCGUCCCCCGCUCCCGCCCCCUCCCCACCGUUCAAUGAAAGAUGAACUGGCGAGAGGUCUGUUUUGCCUGAACCCAUCAACAGCUGGGAGAUUAAUCAACCACACUGAAAAUGUGGAGGGAUUUAUGGGGGAGGGGGUUGAAAUGUGGGUGUUUGAAACAAAAGUGUAUAAACAAAUGAAUUGUUGAUAACUUAGUUAUUGACCUGGAGACUGGUAGCUUAUUAAAGAAACUCCGUGUUACUCAUUCCUGGAGUUGGGGGUUUCUGUAGGCACUUUAUUUCUCCACUUUCAAGAGCUUGGGCUUGGCCCAAAUCUUAGACUGUCCAAUUCUGCCUCUAUUACCAAUUUAAAUCUAUGGCUUGAACCUGUGCACUGAAAAUCAAAUCCUUUAAAAAGAAAGAGGAGAAGAAGAAGCAAAAAAGAAAGAAAAAACACUUAUUAGAAGCCCUAGUCAUUUUUUGGCUUUCUGUUUUGUUGCUGUCCAUUGAAGACUUUGAACAUGCCGCCUUAAUAAAUGUAUUAAAAUUGAAAAAA
RNAcentral lists this long non-coding RNA (755 nucleotides) under Homo sapiens (human). RNAcentral's name for it is "HSALNT0339886". The stretch from base 466 to 610 matches the Rfam family "HOX antisense intergenic RNA myeloid 1 conserved region 5". Lineage: Eukaryota; Metazoa; Chordata; Mammalia; Primates; Hominidae. The record is from RNAcentral.